This 325-nucleotide ribosomal RNA is filed under the name uncultured eukaryote. RNAcentral describes it as "partial 18S ribosomal RNA". It matches the Rfam family "Eukaryotic small subunit ribosomal RNA", at positions 1470 to 1796 of the family's 1831-position model. The record is from RNAcentral.
CCCUUAGAUGUUCUGGGCCGCACGCGCGCUACACUGAUGCAUUCAACGAGCCUAUCCUUGACCGACAGGUCCGGGUAAUCUUUGAAUCUGCAUCGUGACGGGGAUAGAUUAUUGCAAUUAUUAAUCUUCAACGAGGAAUGCCUAGUAGGCGCAAGUCAUCAGCUUGCGUCGAUUACGUCCCUGCCCUUUGUACACACCGCCCGUCGCUCCUACCGAUUGGGUGUGCUGGUGAAAUGUUCGGAUCGGCCGUUUGUCGCGGUUUCCGCGUCAUGUGGCUGAGAAGUUCAUUAAACCCUCCCACCGAGAGGAAGGUGAAGUCGUAACA